This 72-nucleotide transfer RNA is filed under the name Ovis aries (sheep). It matches the Rfam family "tRNA". Rfam says of the family: Transfer RNA (tRNA) molecules are approximately 80 nucleotides in length. Their secondary structure includes four short double-helical elements and three loops (D, anti-codon, and T loops). The record is from Rfam by way of RNAcentral. Lineage: Eukaryota; Metazoa; Chordata; Mammalia; Artiodactyla; Bovidae.
UCCCUGGGAGCUCAGCCGGUAAAGCGUCUGCCUACAACGCAGGAGACCCGGGUUCGAUCCCUGCAUCGGGAA